ACUAGACCCUUUAUAUCCAGGGCUACACACACGCUACAAUGGUCUGUACAAUGGGUAGCCAAGCCGCGAGGCGGAGCCAAUCCUGAAAGCAGGCCUCAGUUCAGAUUGCAGUCUGCAACUCGACUGCAUGAAGCCGGAGUUGCUAGUAACCGCAGGUCAGCUAUACUGCGGUGAAUACGUUCCCGGGCCUU
RNAcentral lists this ribosomal RNA (191 nucleotides) under uncultured Anaerolineaceae bacterium. RNAcentral's name for it is "partial 16S ribosomal RNA". It matches the Rfam family "Bacterial small subunit ribosomal RNA", at positions 1192 to 1382 of the family's 1533-position model. The record is from RNAcentral. Lineage: Bacteria; Bacillati; Chloroflexota; Anaerolineae; Anaerolineales; Anaerolineaceae.